Molecule: ribosomal RNA, 456 nt
Filed under: uncultured Sphingobacteriales bacterium
Lineage: Bacteria; Pseudomonadati; Bacteroidota; Sphingobacteriia; Sphingobacteriales
Description: bacterial SSU rRNA
Rfam family: Bacterial small subunit ribosomal RNA
Source: RNAcentral
ACAAGCGGAGGAGCAUGUGGUUAAUUCGAUGAUACGCGAGGAACCUUACCUGGGCUCGAACGUAAGAUGACUGUAGGUGAAAGCUUACAUCUCUUCGGAGCAUUUUACGAGGUGCUGCAUGGUUGUCGUCAGCUCGUGCCGUGAGGUGUCGGGUUAAGUCCCAUAACGAGCGCAACCCCUACCUUUAGUUGCCAUCAGGUUAAGCUGGGGACUCUAAAGGAACUGCCUACGCAAGUAGUGAGGAAGGCGGGGAUGACGUCAAAUCAGCACGGCCCUUACGUCCAGGGCUACACACGUGCUACAAUGGCCGAUACAGAGGGCAGCUACCUGGUGACAGGAUGCAAAUCUCCAAAGUCGGUCUCAGUUCGGAUCGGAGUCUGCAACCCGACUCCGUGAAGUUGGAAUCGCUAGUAAUCGCGCAUCAGCCAUGGCGCGGUGAAUACGUUCCCGGGCCUU